AUUGAACGCUGGCGGCAGGCUUAACACAUGCAAGUCGAACGAGUGGCGGACGGGUGAGUAAUGCUUGGGAAUCUGGCUUAUGGAGGGGGAUAACGACGGGAAACUGUCGCUAAUACAGCGUACCAUAGGAUGAGCCCAAGUGGGAUUGGGUAGUUGGUGGGGUAAAGGCCUACCAAGCUGACGAUCUCUAGAUGGUCUGAGAGGAUGACCUGCCACACCGGGACUGAGACACGGCCCAGACUCCUACGGGAGGCAGCAGUGGGGAAUCUUCCGCAAUGGAUGAAAGUUGACGGAGCACCGCCGCGGUAGUGAUGACUGCCUUCGGGUUGUAAAGCGCUGUUAAUCGGGAUACGGUACCGGAAUAGAAAGCCACGGCUAACUACGUGCCAGCAGCCGCGGUAAUAC
RNAcentral lists this ribosomal RNA (405 nucleotides) under uncultured bacterium. RNAcentral's name for it is "partial 16S ribosomal RNA". It matches the Rfam family "Bacterial small subunit ribosomal RNA", at positions 30 to 526 of the family's 1533-position model. The record is from RNAcentral.